This 774-nucleotide ribosomal RNA is filed under the name uncultured Neocallimastigales. RNAcentral describes it as "partial large subunit ribosomal RNA". It matches the Rfam family "Eukaryotic large subunit ribosomal RNA", at positions 20 to 616 of the family's 3401-position model. Lineage: Eukaryota; Fungi; Neocallimastigomycota; Neocallimastigomycetes; Neocallimastigales. The record is from RNAcentral.
UACUAGAGUAGCACUCGCAUAUCAAUAAGCGGAGGAAAAGAAACUAACAAGGAUUCCCCUAGUAACGGCGAGUGAAGCGGGAAGAGCUCAAAUUUGAAAUCUUAAAGGGUUUCCCUUUACGAAUUGUAGUUUAAAGAAGUGUUUUCUGUUGAGGUUUUGGUAAAAGUUCUUUGGAAUAGGACAUCAUAGAGGGUGAGAAUCCCGUAUUUGACCUUUACUUUCAACUUUGUGAUACACUUUCAAAGAGUCGGAUUGUUUGGGAAUGCAGUCCAAAAUGGGUGGUAAAUUUCAUCUAAAGCUAAAUAUUGGCGAGAGACCGAUAGCGAACAAGUACCGUGAGGGAAAGAUGAAAAGAACUUUGAAAAGAGAGUUAAACAGUACGUGAAAUUGUCAAAAGGGAAGCGUUUGACACCAGUGUUGUUUUUCUGAAAAUCAAUUAAAGAACUGUUUAUGCUAAGUUGUUUAGACUUUAUCAGCUAACUGUUUAGUUUUGAGCUUUUCUUUAAUGCACUUUUCAGUUAACAAGUCAACAUCAAUUUCUUUUGCUGUAAAAAAGCUUGAGGAAGGUGGCUUGAGAUUCGUCUUAAGUGUUUAUAGCCUCUUGCCCAUGCAGUCGGAGAGAUUGAGGUCUGCAGCGUAGAUCCUUCGGGGCUAAAUGCAUUUGUGCUAAGUUAUAGCAUUUUAUAGACAACUUGUUGACUAUGAUUUGUCUUGUAGCUUACUCGCUUAUGUUAUUUUACCUACGCUUAGGAUGUUGAGCGCAUGUCUCUCUCU